RNAcentral lists this ribosomal RNA (404 nucleotides) under uncultured bacterium. RNAcentral's name for it is "bacterial SSU rRNA". It matches the Rfam family "Bacterial small subunit ribosomal RNA", at positions 355 to 776 of the family's 1533-position model. The record is from RNAcentral.
UGGGGAAUAUUGGACAAUGGGCGCAAGCCUGAUCCAGCAAUGCCGCGUGAGUGAUGAAGGCCUUAGGGUUGUAAAGCUCUUUUGCCAGGGAAGAUGAUGACUGUACCUGGAGAAUAAGCCCCGGCUAACUUCGUGCCAGCAGCCGCGGUAAUACGAAGGGGGCUAGCGUUGUUCGGAAUUACUGGGCGUAAAGGGCGCGUAGGCGGCCGUUUAAGUUAGGUGUGAAAGUCCUGGGCUUAACCUGGGGACUGCACUUGAUACUGGAUGGCUUGAAUUCGGGAGAGGAUAGCGGAAUUCCCAGUGUAGAGGUGAAAUUCGUAGAUAUUGGGAAGAACACCGGUGGCGAAGGCGGCUAUCUGGACCGACAUUGACGCUGAGGCGCGAAAGCGUGGGGAGCAAACAGG